UUUUUAAACUUUCCUUUGUCCAAAACCUUCUUAUGGAGCAUCACCCGGUUCAACUGGUUCUUGUUUAGGAUAGCACCAAUUUCUCGAUAUCAGUUCUCAAAAAAUGGUAUUCAGCACUCCAUCUUGUUGGAUCCUUUGUUUUAUUUAGCAUAUACAAAAUCUCAUUUAGGAGCCACUUUUGUAAAUUAUUUGAAAUCAAUGAUCCGUAAAAGGGUUAAUAUAAAAAUCUUGCAAGCUGAGAGGGAUCAUGGCUUGGAUAGGGUCACCAUUAUUUCCAAGUCUGGGUAAUGCAGAGGGCACCUGAGGGCUUCUCUCGCCAGUAAAAACUGAAUUUCAGGUAGUCUAAGCAUAAACAGAAUGUUGAUAUAUUCUUCUAUAUUUUCAGGAAUGUUCAGCGUACUGAAUGUUUGAUAUAUUAUUGUACAUUUUGGCAUUUACAAACAUAUGAGAUACUAUAUUGUAUGUUUCAGGCAUCAGAGGAUCCUCAACACAUACAGAAUGUUGACAUUGUAAGAAGAGCAAUGAGGACGCCAUCUCGGCUUGGAAUACUGACAGAAUUGGCUAAAUCAGAAUCAUCUUCUAGAACCAGUCGUACCACCUCGUGCAUAUUUCAACAGGAUCAAUUUCAACUAAACCUGGCUGCUCCGAGAAUAUUCGACUAACAAAGUGCAUUGGGUCGUAGUUCAUUCAGUGAAUGUGAAGAUAUGAAAAUCAAAUCUGACAUUUUGUUGUGGUCUGCUAUAUGUGAAUAGGAAAAAAACGAAAUAUGCGACAAUGUUAAUGCUAAGUGCAGUAGAUAUUUGCCUAUGUUUGUAACGCCAGUACAGUAUUUGUUAUUACUGUUCUUAGAGAUAAGGAAGUUAACUGUGAUGGUAUAUAUGGACUUCUUUGGGCAUAGAGUUGUUAAAAGACUUAUCUCAUUUUAAAUGUGUGAAGUUGUUUUUGUUUUAUUUCAAUUGUCUAAUGUUAGGGCAUGUGCAAUAAGGCAGCUAUAACAUAGGUUAGACAUUUUAAAAGAUUGGACGAAUCUUACGUCCUAUCUUUUAGGCACAUUAUACUUAAAUAUAUUAUGAAUUGAUAAAACUGCUUGUUAAGCCUUGUAAUGGGUCUAUAAGUACAAAUAAAGCUAAAUGUUUUACCAAA
Ruditapes philippinarum (Manila clam) is the source of this 1143-nucleotide long non-coding RNA. RefSeq lists it as uncharacterized. The record is from RefSeq and is a predicted model, not a curated record. The transcript has 2 exons. Lineage: Eukaryota; Metazoa; Mollusca; Bivalvia; Venerida; Veneridae.